AUUGAACGCUGGCGGCAUGCUUUACACAUGCAAGUCGAACGGUAACAGGCCUUCGGGUGCUGACGAGUGGCGAACGGGUGAGUAAUGCAUCGGAACGUGCCCAGAGGUGGGGGAUAACGUAGCGAAAGCUGUGCUAAUACCGCAUGUGAUCUGAGGAUGAAAGCGGGGGACCAGGCAGCAAUGUUUGGCCUCGCGCCUUUGGAGCGGCCGAUGUCAGAUUAGGUAGUUGGUGGGGUAAAGGCCUACCAAGCCGACGAUCUGUAGCUGGUCUGAGAGGACGACCAGCCACACUGGGACUGAGACACGGCCCAGACUCCUACGGGAGGCAGCAGUGGGGAAUUUUGGACAAUGGGCGCAAGCCUGAUCCAGCAAUGCCGCGUGCGGGAAGAAGGCCUUCGGGUUGUAAACCGCUUUUGUACGGAACGAAAAGGCUCUGGCUAAUACCUGGGGCUGAUGACGGUACCGUAAGAAUAAGCACCGGCUAACUACGUG
RNAcentral lists this ribosomal RNA (492 nucleotides) under uncultured bacterium. RNAcentral's name for it is "partial 16S ribosomal RNA". It matches the Rfam family "Bacterial small subunit ribosomal RNA", at positions 30 to 507 of the family's 1533-position model. The record is from RNAcentral.